ACUUAGAUAGUUUAAUUAGAAUAAUAAUUUGUGGCGUUAUUGGUGUAUUUAUACUCUAGGUU
Molecule: transfer RNA, 62 nt
Filed under: Metacanthus pulchellus
Lineage: Eukaryota; Metazoa; Arthropoda; Insecta; Hemiptera; Berytidae
Description: tRNA-His
Source: RNAcentral